UGGGGAAUAUUGGACAAUGGGCGCAAGCCUGAUCCAGCCAUACCGCGUGGGUGAAGAAGGCCUUCGGGUUGUAAAGCCCUUUUGUUGGGAAAGAAAAGCAGUCGGCUAAUACCCGGUUGUUCUGACGGUACCCAAAGAAUAAGCACCGGCUAACUUCGUG
This 160-nucleotide ribosomal RNA is filed under the name bacterium 050641. Its description in RNAcentral is "partial 16S rRNA". It matches the Rfam family "Bacterial small subunit ribosomal RNA", at positions 355 to 507 of the family's 1533-position model. The record is from RNAcentral.